Molecule: non-coding RNA, 112 nt
Organism: Mucilaginibacter sp. PAMC 26640
Lineage: Bacteria; Pseudomonadati; Bacteroidota; Sphingobacteriia; Sphingobacteriales; Sphingobacteriaceae
Source: Rfam
UCAGGUGCCUAUAUCGGCGGUGUCCACCUCUUCCCAUUCCGAACAGAGAAGUUAAGCCCGCCAGAGCCGAUGGUACUGCAGUAAAAUGUGGGAGAGUAGGUCGGUGCCCAAU